UCCGAAUUGGUGUAGUGGCCAACAUUUGACGCUCUCAAAAAGGUUCUUUGAAUCUGAAGUACCGUCAAGCCCGGGGUUCGAUUCCCCGAUUCGGAG
Molecule: non-coding RNA, 96 nt
Organism: Daldinia grandis
Lineage: Eukaryota; Fungi; Ascomycota; Sordariomycetes; Xylariales; Hypoxylaceae
Source: the annotation of a GenBank genome assembly